AGGGAAACUCAAAGGAAUUGACGGGGACCCGCACAAGUAGCGGAGCAUGUGGUUUAAUUCGAAGAAACGCGAAGAACCUUACCUAAGCUUGACAUCCCAAUGACAUCUCCUUAAUCGGAGAGUUCCCGUCGGGGACAUUGGUGACAGGUGGUGCAUGGUUGUCGUCAGCUCGUGUCGUGAGAUGUUGGGUUAAGUCCCGCAACGAGCGCAACCCUUGUCUUUAGUUGCCAUCAUUAAGUUGGGCACUCUAGGGAGACUGCCAGGGAUAACCUGGAGGAAGGUGGGGAUGACGUCAAAUCAUCAUGCCCCUUAUGCUUAGGGCUACACACGUGCUACAAUGGGUAGUACAGAGGGUUGCCAAGCCGUAAGG
This 370-nucleotide ribosomal RNA is filed under the name Clostridioides difficile. RNAcentral describes it as "bacterial SSU rRNA". It matches the Rfam family "Bacterial small subunit ribosomal RNA", at positions 893 to 1262 of the family's 1533-position model. Lineage: Bacteria; Bacillati; Bacillota; Clostridia; Peptostreptococcales; Peptostreptococcaceae. The record is from RNAcentral.